Molecule: long non-coding RNA, 1031 nt
Organism: Fukomys damarensis (Damara mole-rat)
Lineage: Eukaryota; Metazoa; Chordata; Mammalia; Rodentia; Bathyergidae
Source: Ensembl
GCCAACCUUGACCCCUGUUACAUGAUCUCUGCUCUUCUCUUCCCCUAUUUCAUGGCACUGUACCCAGAAGAGGCCCCAUGUGCUCAGCAAAGGUUCCCAUCUCUGUUUGUUGGUGAUUGCAGAACUGGGCUAAAGUCACACUUUCGAUGCAGAUGGCAGCUCAGAGGGACUCUCAGUUCUGGGGUACAGAGAGCAGGGCACUUUCCUGCCAACUCUUUACUUUCUGCAGGGCUGGAUACCUCUUCCCGCCCUGGGGCCAACUUCUUCCAUGUGUGCCUCACUGCCUGCCCCCAAGGACAGCACUCCUUGACCAGAGACUGCCUGCAGUGCCCCAUGGGCUUCUAGUAAGGAGCAGAUACCUGCAAUUCAAAGGAGAGAGGGAAGGGCAUGUGGAACCUUGGUUUAUUAAAGGGAAACCAAGCAGAUCCCCUUCAUGAUGGCCCCAAAUGUGAGUGGCUCCCAGGACAAUUGGUUAGUGCUGAGUGUCCUGGAGCCUGGUGGACUGAGCUGUCAGGGCCCACCCAGGAUACAGAGCUCAAUAGAGGGUUGGGCUAGAAGAAGCAAGCUUGAUCUGGCUCUGCCCCUCACCUGCCUUGUGCCUUGAACAAUUCGUCACCCAGGAUGUGAGGUGGUGUGGUCAAAGCUGCCUGGAUGGCAGGACAUGGCUGUGCCCUAUUGGAACCUGCAGGAGAUGCCUUGAACUUACAGACAACAGGGACAUCCAGAAGCGCCCAGAUGGACAGGAGUCACACCCAGAGAAGUCUAGCUGUGUCAUCUGUCCUCUGUGCUACUUCACAAACAGAAGCCACAGCUGCCAGCUCUGUACGACAGGUAGACAUGAAGUGGAGUACUCAGUUCCCCUGUCCAGAACACACCUACAGCUUGCAAGCAGGCAGCGGCUGGCUACAGGACUAUGCACCUUGCACCCCAGAAGCCUUUUGCCCUAGUGGACCCCCCAAGCCUGUGCCCUGCCCAUGGUAAGGAAGAUCAAGCCAGGGGUGUGACUGUGCUGUAAGUCAAGGUACCACUGU